ACGUAAUCAUGCGUUAGGGAUUGAAGUGGAAAUCCUUUUUGUGAGGCACGAGCAAAAAGAUUGUAGCGGAAAGCCCGCCCGUUU
RNAcentral lists this small RNA (84 nucleotides) under Aequorivita viscosa. RNAcentral's name for it is "Aequorivita sp. 8-1b Flavo-1 RNA". It matches the Rfam family "Flavo-1 RNA". Lineage: Bacteria; Pseudomonadati; Bacteroidota; Flavobacteriia; Flavobacteriales; Flavobacteriaceae. The record is from Rfam by way of RNAcentral.